AUAAGCAAUUAAGGGCAGAUGGAGGAUGCCUUGGCUCUUGUUAGCGAUGAAGGACGUGAUAAGCUGCGAUAAGCUGUGCCGAGGCGCAAAUAGCCUGCGAAGCACAGAUUUCCGAAUGGGGCAACCCUCAUGGUUGAAGACCAUGAAUCCGAAAGGAAGCAUACCCGGGGAACUGAAACAUCUAAGUACCCGGAGGAAAAGAAAAUAAUAAUGAUUCCCUUAGUAGUGGCGAGCGAAACGGGAAGAGCCCAAACCAACGAUGUUUCGGCAUUGUUGGGGUUAUAGGACCACAUUUAGCGCUGUAUACGAAUCUGGAAGAGGUCUGGAAAGUCCUACCAUAGCGGGUGAUAGUCCCGUACAGAAGCUGCGUACAGUGUGAGUGGUAUCCUGAGUAGCGCGGGACACGUGAAAUCCUGUGUGAAUUCGCCGGAACCAUCCGGUAAGGCUAAAUAUAACAAGAGACCGAUAGCGUACAAGUACUGCGAAGGAAAGGUGAAAAGAACCUCGAACAGAGGAGUGAAAUAGAACCUGAAACCAUCUGCUUACAAGCGGUCGGAGCGCAAGUGACGACCUGCCUUUUGCAUAAUGAGCCUACGAGUUACUCCUCUUUGGCAAGGAUAAAUUUCUCUGAAAUGCAUCCGAAGCGAAAGCAAGUCUAAAUAGGGCGUUUAGUCAGAGGGGGUAGACGCGAAACCUUAGUGAUCUACACAUGGCCAGGUUGAAGUCUCGGUAACACGAGAUGGAGGACCGAACCCGUUAACGUUGAAAAGUUUUGGGAUGAGCUGUGUGUAGGGGUGAAAGGCUUAUCAAACUGGGAAAUAGCUCGUUCUCCCCGAAAUGCAUUUAGGUGCAGCCUUGUGGUGAGUGCGACGGAGGUAGAGCUACCGAUUGGGCUAGGGGGUGUCACAACCUACCAAACCCUGACGAACUCCGAAUGCCGUCUCAUAUACACAGGAGUGAGGGUAUGGGUGCUAAGGUCCGUAUCCGAGAGGGAAUCAACCCAGACUAUCUGCUAAGGUCCCCAAAUCUAUGUUAAGUUGAUAAAACGUGGUGUGGUUGCAUUGACAGCUAGGAUGUUUGCUUGGAAGCAGCAAUUCAUUUAAAGAGUGCGUAACAGCUCACUAGUCGAGCGAUCAUGCGUGGAUAAUAAUCGGGCAUAAGCAUAGUACCGAAGCGGUAGAUUUAUGGUAGGGGAGCAUUCUCAUCUGCUGCGAAGGCGAUUCGUAAGGAUCUCUGGAGCGUUGAGAAAAGAAAAUGUAGGCAUAAGUAACGAUUAAGGAAGUGAAAAACUUCCUCGCCAAAAGACCAAGGGUUCCUGAUCAACGUUAAUCGGAUCAGGUUUAGUCGGAUCCUUAGGUGAACCCGAACGGGGCAGCCGAUGGAAAGCAGGUUUAUAUUCCUGCACCCGCAUAACAUUAAAAGUGACGGAAGGACGUGGUGGCUGCGUGCUGACGGAAAUGCACGCUGAGCCGAAUCUUCGGAAGAAGCGAAGUCAUAAAAUCCUUUCCAAGAAAAGCGAGUUAUGCGGUCCGUACCCGAAACCGACACAGGUGGUCAAGUAGAAUAUACUAAGGCGCUCGAGUGAAUCACGGUUAAGGAACUAGGCAAAUUAGUCUCGUAACUUCGGGAAAAGAGACUCCCUCGCAAGAGGGACGCAGAGAAAUGGCCCAGGCGACUGUUUAUCAAAAACACAGGGCUAUGCUAAAUCGAAAGAUGAUGUAUAUGGCCUGACACCUGCCCGGUGCUGGAAGGUUAAGUGGAGGGUUUAGCUUCGGCGAAGAUCUGAAAUGAAGCCCCAGUAAACGGCGGCCGUAACUAUAACGGUCCUAAGGUAGCGAAAUUCCUUGUCGGGUAAGUUCCGA
This 1862-nucleotide ribosomal RNA is filed under the name marine metagenome. RNAcentral describes it as "bacterial LSU rRNA". It matches the Rfam family "Bacterial large subunit ribosomal RNA", at positions 1 to 1986 of the family's 2925-position model. The record is from RNAcentral.